AUGAACGCUGGCGGCGUGCCUAAUACAUGCAAGUAGCACGCUGAAGGAGGAGCUUGCUCUUCUGGAUGAGUUGCGAACGGGUGAGUAACGCGUAGGUAACCUGCCUGGUAGCGGGGGAUAACUAUUGGAAACGAUAGCUAAUACCGCAUGACAACAGUUAUUGCAUGAUAACUGUUUAAAAGGGGCAACUGCUCCACUACCAGAUGGACCUGCGUUGUAUUAGCUAGUUGGUGAGGUAACGGCUCACCAAGGCGACGAUACAUAGCCGACCUGAGAGGGUGAUCGGCCACACUGGGACUGAGACACGGCCCAGACUCCUACGGGAGGCAGCAGUAGGGAAUCUUCGGCAAUGGACGGAAGUCUGACCGAGCAACGCCGCGUGAGUGAAGAAGGUUUUCGGAUCGUAAAGCUCUGUUGUAAGAGAAGAACGAGUGUGAGAGUGGAAAGUUCACACUGUGACGGUAUCUUACCAGAAAGGGACGGCUAACUACGUG
This 494-nucleotide ribosomal RNA is filed under the name uncultured bacterium. RNAcentral describes it as "partial 16S ribosomal RNA". It matches the Rfam family "Bacterial small subunit ribosomal RNA", at positions 29 to 507 of the family's 1533-position model. The record is from RNAcentral.